CACAGAAUUUUUUAAAAGUCAACUGCAAUGAGCCCUCCCCAUAGUUCUCUGGAGCUCCAGUUUGGGCCAUUACCCAAAAGCUCUUCUGAUCAAGACCUACAUAUGACUGUUCUCCAGAACACCAAGGAUGAUGAUUACGGUCAGAAGAUUUACUUAAAUGACAAUGCAAGCAAGUUCCCCAUGGACAUUGUGUCCUUUGAGGUUCCAGUGCUGUUGUCUGGGAGAAAGAUAGACCGACUGCAUCUUACCUGGCUUGCUUAAUUCAUUGCAAAAAUAGGAAAAAAAAUGUACAGAAUGUAUCCUGCAAUAUCCUAUAACAAAAUUAUGUGAUUACAAGGACAAUCUUACUUGCCUUUGAUGUUCUGAAGCUCUUCUUGCUCAUUCUCUCUCUCUAUAUAUAUACAUACACAUGAGCAAGUACCUUUUAAUCUGUGAUUUUAACCUAUGAUUUUACCGUUUGGGUAGAUCGUUCCUCAAGG
Molecule: long non-coding RNA, 479 nt
Organism: Nothoprocta perdicaria
Lineage: Eukaryota; Metazoa; Chordata; Aves; Tinamiformes; Tinamidae
Exons: 2
Source: RefSeq, a predicted model, not a curated record